Molecule: ribosomal RNA, 750 nt
Filed under: Torotrogla rubeculi
Lineage: Eukaryota; Metazoa; Arthropoda; Arachnida; Trombidiformes; Syringophilidae
Description: partial 28S ribosomal RNA
Source: RNAcentral
CAAAGAACUUUGAAGAGAGAGUUCAAAAGGACGUGAAACCACUUGCAAGUAAACAGAUGGAACCACGAAGUGUAGCUGAGAAGAGAAUUCAUUUUUACUUAAGGUACAAUUGUAUUUGAGAGUAGUUUGUUUACUUGUCUUGCUACUUGUUGGUGGUAUAGGUUAAGUAAAGCAAUAGCUCUCUUUACAAAUAACUAUGUUGCUCUUAUAGUAAAUGCAUUUUCACUCUUCUCAUGCUCGAGCCUUGUACAAUAGGGUAAAUAUAAAAAUGCACAGGGAAAAUACACAUAGCAUAUACAUUCUAUGUAUUCAGUAGCGUAAGGUUCAUUUAUACUUGUAGAAUUGUCUAUAUAGUUAUAAAUGUUUACUAUGCUUUGCUGUUUUAUAUUAUAUAGUGUGUUGAUUGUUAUUGGUUAUUUGUGCUAUUUUUGUUGUAUGUUAUUUGUAUGUUUUGUUUAAAGCAGGCUGCAAAGAAGCAUGCAAUAAUAAUAUUACAAAGAUACAAUAAUAUAUCACCAUAAGCACACUAUUAUAAUAUAAGUAAAAUCUAUUUUCCUCCCUAUUGUUUAUGAAAGUUUCUCUAAGGAGAAUGAUUAGUGCAUGAUUAAGGGUAGGAUAUCUGUUUGCCAUAUUUGUCUAUCAUUGUAUAUAUUAAUUUGAUUGUUACAAUCUUAUUCGUAUAUCGAAUGAGAGUAACAGAUUGAUAGAUUGACUGAAUAUGCAUUCUAGAUAAUUGAAAAAAAAACUACC